GUGUUAGUUCGUCUAACACAUGUACUAAAAUUGGAACGAUACAGAGAAGAUUAGCAUGGCCCCUGGCGCAAGGAUGACACGCAAAUUCGUGAAGCGUUCUCAAUUUUU
Anoplopoma fimbria (sablefish) is the source of this 108-nucleotide small nuclear RNA. The record is from RefSeq and is a predicted model, not a curated record. NCBI's taxonomy places the organism in Eukaryota, Metazoa, Chordata, Actinopteri, Perciformes, Anoplopomatidae.